UGGGGCGGGGGACCAAUCAGCUUUUCAAUGUCUUCAUACGACAAAGUUUCUCUUUCCAUUAGUUCCUUGGCAAUCUACAACAAAUGAGAGACAUACUACACAAAAUUCUAUAGCAAACAGGUCUUCCGUACAUGUAGGUCUUCAAUUAGGCAAACCAUUACAAGGGGAUAAUAACCAAAUGCUGAGAGAAGAUUAUGGCCAACAUAAAGAUCUGCAUCUCAUCUUAAUUCAAAUGACUUCAGGUCUUGUGCAAAUAAUCAGAAAAAGUGAAAGAAACAAAA
This is a long non-coding RNA of Ostrea edulis (European flat oyster), 281 nucleotides long. RefSeq lists it as uncharacterized. The transcript has 2 exons. NCBI's taxonomy places the organism in Eukaryota, Metazoa, Mollusca, Bivalvia, Ostreida, Ostreidae. The record is from RefSeq and is a predicted model, not a curated record.